Molecule: non-coding RNA, 626 nt
Organism: Odocoileus virginianus texanus
Lineage: Eukaryota; Metazoa; Chordata; Mammalia; Artiodactyla; Cervidae
Source: RefSeq, a predicted model, not a curated record
GGAAUCCAGAAUGAAGAAUUUCAGAAUUUUAAAAUUCUAUGAUCUUAUGCAAUAUCUUAAGAGCUGCCUUUAAAAAUCCUUAAGCACACGAGGAGAGGGAAGUGGGGUGGUAGUGAUAAAAAUGGUUAAGCCCUGAGCAUUGCGACAGGGACUGGCUGACCAGACCAGAACCCCAUUGGCCAAGCUGCGCAGGGAGGCAUGCAGAUGGCCUGUACAUUAACCCUUUUAACUUGAAAACAAAAGUGCCCUUGUGCCUGGGAGCAGGAGCUCCAGCUCAGAUGGCCCAACUGGCUAUGGAAACACUGGAAACUCCAGCCUCCCAGCCUGCCAUGAACAUCAAAUGCAACAAUGCAGUGUUUCUUGUUGCCCCGGAAGGAAGCUGUGCAGUUUGGCUGAGUGGAAAAGUCAGAAGAAAAGAUAUGCCAGGAAGAAGCACAUAUUAUUCCACAUGAAAAUCGAACAGGAAAUAUAUCAUGUGCCGUGUCUCCAUUCUCAGCAGCAGACGACAUCUAUAAGAAAGAAGUGGACCUAUUUGAAUUUAGAAGUUCUACACUGAAAUACAAUAGGCUAAUAAUAUUGUUACCUAGAGAGUCUAUUUCGGUUAAUUACAUUUUCGUUGUUAUGGC